UGUGACGUCCUGUCUCGCGAGAUGAGACUUGUGACAUCGGGAUUAGCUGUCAGUAAGGAGCAAAGGAUCUGAAAAUUAAUGGCGUUGCGGGACAUUUAAGAAGCGAUCCAGGACUGUGGGGAAAUAAAACCGGGGCUGCCUAGCUAAAAGAGGGACUGUUGGGCGGGAGUCUGCCUUUCAGUUGAAAAUGCAAAACAACGAAGUGCUGAAGCCUGCCAAGUACUUUUCGGAGCUGGAAAAGAGCGUGUUACUGGCUUUGGUGGAAAAGUAUAAGUAUGUCCUAGAAUGUAAGAAAAGUGAUGCUCGGACUAUAGCCCUAAAGCAGCGCACGUGGCAAGCUUUAGCCCAUGAAUAUAAUUCCCAGCCUAGUGUGUCACUGAGGGAUUUUAAGCAGCUGAAGAAAUGCUGGGAGAACAUCAAAGCUAGGACCAAAAAGAUUAUGGCCCAUGAAAGGAGAGAAAAGGGAAAACUUUUUGGGCCAGAGUCUAAUAGUCAUCAAGCUUUGAAAGAAAAGGUUGCAAGUAUGAUUCCUGAGCAGCUCUAUUUUGUACAUAACCAGCCUGAUGAAGGAAGAGGAUACAAUCAUGAUACGUCCAACCAAGAAAUGGACUGCAAGAGAGUUAAUCUGUUAGAUCUGGAAGUACUUAUUGACGAACAAGGCAAAAUUCUAACCAAACCUUUUAGGAAAGUACCUGAAACAAAUUCAUUAUGUGAUGAUGGCUCACCUCCCCAGUCCAUAGACAAAUCCUUUCCUAAUGGAGAUUUGGAACUUCUCAUCGAUGAGCAAGGUAAAAUCCAAGCCGAACCAAUUCGGAAAGUGCCCGUCACAGAUUCACAGUGUACACAGGGCUCGCCUUCAAGCUCCAUAAAGACAGAUAUGGCUGACCAAACUCCAGAGAAGGCUGAUGCUGAUAAGGCAAAAAGUAAAGACAAGCCAAGAUCAAAAGAUCUGCCUUCACAACGUAGUAAAAAAGAGCACAUGAAGGAUUUAAAGAAACAGCACCCUGGAAAUUGUGCAGGCUGCGAUGUGUUUAUUCCUUUGGGAAAUGAAAAACUAUGCAAACCUUGUGCUGAAAAAGUCCUGUGCCUUCUAUGCAAGAUUUUGUUACCUGGAUGAAAGGAGCUAUGCAAGAAUCUUUUGAUUCUUUUAAGCAUUCACAUAAUGAAGGGACAUCCUCAUUAGUGGAAUCAGUCUUUGAGGACGUUUCUUCAGAGGGUUCAGCAGACUUUUUUCCUAUUGAGGAAAUCUAACCUUUUCUGUCGGUUAGAGAUACCAUGGGGCAACAGAACUGCCCAAAAAGACUUGUUAACUUUUUGCAGGAAUCAUUAAAAAGAAGCUUUGUUUUUUUUAGACUCUGUUAUAUCCGAAAGAAAAAAAAGCCACUGGUCAACUAUCCUUCUCAAAAUGAUUUAAAUCCCUCUUUCCCUUUGACACAAAAGAUUAAAAAAAUUGGGAUGCUACACCAAAGCUAGAUCCCCCAGUGGCCCAGACGUUAAAAAUAACCACACUAUCCUUGGAAGAUAGCUCAGGGCUAAAUGAUCCAAUGGACAAGAAAGCUGAAGCAGCCCUUAGGAAGUCAUAUCUCGAAGAUGCAGCCUCAUUCAAACCAGCAAUUGCAGCAGCCUCAGUUGCUAGAUCCCUAAAAAUCUGGAUCAAUCAAUUACAAAAUGGAUUGAAGAAGGGAACUUUAAGAGAACAUCUCCUGGAAGAUUUACCAAUACUUUCAUUAGAACAAACGGCAAUCUUCCAGCACACGUUAUAUGUAUUUUCUUCUGGGGGGUGCACACAAGAGAUGUGUUCACCUUCACAUACCUUAUAGCUCAAAGUCAAAAGGUAGCAGCACUCCCAUCUUGUGAAGAUAAAACCGCCUUUAUUAUUUCAUACGGCAACUCCAGCAACGUUUCAGACACUCCAGGUCCUUUCUCAUUCUGACAAAGUGUCAAUUGCAACGAAUGAAUAUCUGGGAAUCUGUUGGAGAAAAUGUAGCUGGGCAAUAAUAUGACCUGCAUAAUCAAAAAAUGGCUUGCAAUUGGAUUUUGUUUAACAUUUCUCCUGAAAUGAUCUACUAUAUCCCCUUUCAAACAACUGUUACAAUGUCUACAUGUUAAGGAAAAACUACUGCUUUAUACUACUUUGGCCCAGCAAGUGCUAUGACUGAAGCCUUGGGCAGCAGACAUUGCUUCCAAAAAUCAUCUUCUUAAUAUGCCUUUUGAAGGAGAAAAAUCAUUUGAAUCGGAAUUAGAUCUACUUGUUGCGAAGAAAUCUGAUGUCAGGGGGCUUCCCCAGGAUAGAAAACAAAGGAAACUAUUUUUUCAUACACAGGGUCCAUCAUACAAAACGAGACCACAAGGAAGAGGCAUCAGAUCCAGUAGGGAUACAUUUUUCUCUUACAGGGGAGGACUAAAGAACAUUGUAUCAGCUUGGAAAAAGAUAACAAACGACAAGUGGGUCCUUCAAACAAUCCAGAAGGGUUACUCUAUAGAGUUUAUAGCCAUACCACAAAACAAGUACAAGUUGUCCCCAAGACCACUCAUCGGUGGUCAAAGACGAGCCCUCUCAGAAGCCAUUCAAAAAUCAGGGUGUAGUCAUUCCAGUCCCUCCAGCGGAAACAUUUUUAGGGUUAUAAUAUCUUAUGUUCCUUGUUCCCAUGCCAGACAGAAAAUAUUGAACCUUUAAGGUUCCUAAACCAGUUCAUAGAAAAGAAGUAAUUCAAAAUGGAAACAAUCCACUCUGUAAUAGCAUCAUUGUCUCCAGAAGUCCAGGAUCUUCAUAGUGGUCCCAGCUUUUUUAAGGGAAAGAUUGAUGGCAAUCAUACCCUACUUUGACUGGCAUAAAAGCAAGAUCCAAUUCCAUUUUAAAAGAAGAUCUUUAUUUUAUUAUUCAUACCCUACAGUCCCUAGGCUGGGUUGUAAACUGGGAAAAGUUGGUAAUUUUUCCAAUUCAUAAAAUAACAUUUUUAGGAAUGUGGCUGGAUACAAAAAUAGGCAAGAUUUUUUACCAGAAGAAAAAUGCGAAAAUAUAAUUCAGAAAGUAUCCCUGCUUACUCAAAGAAGAAGAUCUGCAGUAAGACAAAUUUUGGAAACCCUUGGUCUUUUUACUUCAUCAAUAGAGGUAGUUCCUUGGGCCAAAGCCCAUGCCACAUCAUUACAAAACUUCUUGAUCCAAAAUUGGAAUCCGCAGGAAGAUUCAUUGAACCAACGUGUAGUCCUUCCAGUUCAAGUAAGAGUCUCUCAACUGGUGGCUGGUGCCACAGAACCUUCAAAAAGGAACCAACCUGUUUCCAAAACAGGCAUAGACAAUUACCACGGAUGCAACAUUCCAAUGUUCUCAGAACCAGAAGCCGUCUGGAGGUCAGUUCUGGCCUUCAAGGAUUCCAUAAGAGACCACUCCGUAAGAAUCCACACAGACAACAUAGCAACAGUAUACUACUUGAAUCACCAGAAAUCAAUCUGGAAGAAUUAACAGCAAGACAUAUAAAAAGGCUCCACAAAUACAAUAGUAGAUUUUCUAAGUCGCCAGGAAAUUUCACCAACAGAAUGGAGUUUAAAUCCAGAGGUGUUUUCUCAAAUCUGUGGCCUUUGGGGGAUUCCAGAAAUAGACCUUAUGGCCACAAGAAAAAACAGCAAAGUGAAAAAAUUUUUUCCCUAAUAACAACGAGUAGUGAAAAAACAAGCAGAGCUCACCCUUUCUGUAGUGUAGCGUGUCGGCCCCAGCAAUAGUCCAGCAACUCCAAGCCAGAACCUACAACAGUCUCGGUGUAUCGCCGUUCCGCACUGCCUAAUCACCCCUCAGGAGUGGCUACAAAUUUCUUUAAAAAAAGCGGCUUUUAUUCAGCUCAAUAAGUGAUUACAUUGGCAGUGGGAAAGUGGUACAAAUGCGUUUCGUGCCCUUCCUAUUGGCACUUCAUCAGAGUUCAACAUCAGGCAACAGUAAUUGUAAUUGCAGUUGAUAUGCGGAUCUGCUACAAAUGUCGACCUGUCCGCCUUGGCCUUUACCAAAAAGAAAAGAUCUACUACUACAAGGGCCAGUGCUACGUCAUAACCCAGAUGCCUUAUAGUUGAUGGCCUGGAAACUGAGAGGGACAUACUAAGACAGCAAGGAAUUUCAUCCAAGGUAAUUGAUAUCCUGCUUCAGAGCUGGAAAAGAAUCACUAAAGCUGGCCAUAGACGCAACGAUCCAAUCGUACGAAUUGUGGAUUCGUACGAUUUUCGGACCAUGUGUGGAGAGUCCCAACAUUUUUCGCCCGGCAGAGAUUGGUCGUUUGGUCGAUU
RNA transcript from Xenopus laevis (African clawed frog), 4272 nucleotides. It is a transcript of the gene named Myb/SANT DNA binding domain containing 3 S homeolog, with no coding region annotated. The transcript has 6 exons. The record is from RefSeq and is a predicted model, not a curated record. NCBI's taxonomy places the organism in Eukaryota, Metazoa, Chordata, Amphibia, Anura, Pipidae.